RNAcentral lists this long non-coding RNA (308 nucleotides) under Cricetulus griseus (Chinese hamster). RNAcentral describes it as "lncRNA (ENSCGRG00015043340.1)". Lineage: Eukaryota; Metazoa; Chordata; Mammalia; Rodentia; Cricetidae. The record is from RNAcentral.
CAACAUCCACCCCAUCUGUGGUCUGCUGGAGCAUGUGAAGGGGUUAGUCCUGCAGACACAAAGCUGCAGGAUCUCCAUGACACAGGACAACAGGAUAACCACGAGGAGUUCCAGCUGAAGCAGGAGGAUCCCUUGAGUUCAGGACCUCAAAACCAGUUUGGGCAACACAAUGGCACCCUACCUCCCCUUCGCCUAUAAAAAGCACAGCUGGGAUGGGACAUGGUGAUGAACAGUUCACUGGUACAGUGUUCACCUAGCACAAGUUAGGUUGUAGCUUUUAAUUCCAGUCCCUGUCCCCUACCCUGAAC